RNAcentral lists this ribosomal RNA (309 nucleotides) under uncultured bacterium. RNAcentral's name for it is "bacterial SSU rRNA". It matches the Rfam family "Bacterial small subunit ribosomal RNA", at positions 28 to 334 of the family's 1533-position model. The record is from RNAcentral.
GACGAACGCUGGCGGCGCGCCUAACACAUGCAAGUCGAACGAGCGGGAGAGAGCUUGCUUUCUCAAGCGAGUGGCGAACGGGUGAGUAACGCGUGAGGAACCUGCCUCAAAGAGGGGGACAACAGUUGGAAAUGACUGCUAAUACCGCAUAAGACCACAGCACCGCAUGGUGCAGGGGUAAAAACUCCGGUGGUAUGAGAUGGAUCCGCGUCUGAUUAGCUAGUUGGUAAGGUAACGGCUUACCAAGGCAACGAUCAGUAGCCGACCUGAGAGGGUGACCGGCCACAUUGGGACUGAGACACGGCCCAA